RNAcentral lists this ribosomal RNA (301 nucleotides) under uncultured bacterium. Its description in RNAcentral is "partial 16S ribosomal RNA". It matches the Rfam family "Bacterial small subunit ribosomal RNA", at positions 509 to 809 of the family's 1533-position model. The record is from RNAcentral.
CAGCAGCCGCGGGAAUACGGAGGGUGCAAGCGUUAAUCGGAAUUACUGGGCGUAAAGCGCACGCAGGCGGUCUGUCAAGUCAGAUGUGAAAUCCCCGGGCUUAACCUGGGAACUGCAUUUGAAACUAGCAGGCUAGAGUCUUGUAGAGGGGGGUAGAAUUCCAGGUGUAGCGGUGAAAUGCGUAGAGAUCUGGAGGAAUACCGGUGGCGAAGGCGGCCCCCUGGACAAAGACUGACGCUCAGGUGCGAAAGCGUGGGGAGCAAACAGGAUUAGAUACCCGCGUAGUCCCUGUCUCUUAUAA